Dendronephthya gigantea is the source of this 1127-nucleotide long non-coding RNA. RefSeq lists it as uncharacterized. The transcript has 3 exons. NCBI's taxonomy places the organism in Eukaryota, Metazoa, Cnidaria, Anthozoa, Malacalcyonacea, Nephtheidae. The record is from RefSeq and is a predicted model, not a curated record.
GUUUAAAACAUUGUCUUUGAAGUAAUAAAAGGCAGUUGAACCUACAAUCUAGACGAAACUCAGUCUUUGCACUUGCAGUCUCGAAGAAGUUCGGGAAAAGUUGGAAGUCUUGCUUAGAACGAACUAUGGCGCCGAAAGAUGGGGAAGGAGAAACGUAAAGGCUUGCUCGCAGCGAAUGAUAGGCAUUUGUGACUUGAAAAAACACGUUGUGUGUGUGUUCGUGGUAGUCCUUCUUAGAGAUAAAGAUAUAAGAUAAAGUAUUUUUCUCUAGUUUAUAUCUAAGUUUAUGUGCGUAAUUUUUUUUUCAUUUGUAUUGUGCAUGCUUUAUAAAAAGUAUAUGAUAUCGAAAAAUAUUAAAGACAGGUUACAGCGGCUUCUGCGCAUGUGCGAGCUUUGUUUACAUUUUUUGUUUUGAUCCGCAAUGAUUCUACAACAUGAAGUAUAUCAUAUAUUCGCAAUGAUUUAUCAACAAAAAAAGAGAGGAGCGACGCUUCUUUCAAAAAUAUAUUUGCGGAAAAAAACUAUAGAAAAAACCGAAAAUAAGCAAAUACAACAUUUUACGGAAACACUUUACAACAGUGGAUGAAAAGCCGCUUUGAAAUCGUAGAUUAACAGCUGGAGCGGCGGCCGAAGUUGUCAUACAAAGGCGCGAGUUCUAAUCGGUUCGCUUUUGGUUUGUUUAUAUUUGGGACUUGAUAGCCUUGGAAGUGUUAGUAAUGUCUUUAAUAAUGAAAUAUACUGUGCGGUAUCUUUCCGCCGUCGAAAACUCAUUCAUACCAGGGUGGUCACAAUCAUGGCAGGAGCAAUUGAAGGAAGCUUUUCGCUUGAAGAUUUCGAAGCUAAUGUUUUGGAAAACGCAGCGGCUAUGCCUAACCGUGACAAAAUCACAGUGUGCAAAUGUAGAGGGCACUGUCUUCGUGAAAAAGGACGGAAUUUCUGUCCGUGCAGAAGCAUCAAUAGCUUGUGUUCGAGCGCGUGUCAUGGCGAAGACUUUGGCUGUUGCAUGAACAACCGACUUGUUCAAGAAAGCGAUAGUGAUGAGAGUGACUCUGAGUUCACUAUAGAGGAAAGUGAGAAUGAGGGCGAGCAGCAGCUGCAGAUUGAAAAGAGAGGAUGUGGUAGGGAAG